GUACCAAAAAAAAAAUGUAUGAAGAAAAAUAUGGUUAUAGUCUAUGAAAGGAAUAAAUCAGUAUAGAGAAGGGUUCAAUUUAGGGGUGAAAAGCCUCGAUGUCAUUCUCAAAGACGGUUCUGUCCACAUUACGCUGUCAGUGCGAUGCAUGUUCCAUAAAUAUCCUAACGGUAUUUUACAGAGCUUGGCAAACUAGUUCUAAAAUUCAUAUGGAAAAGCGACGGCCUAAGCAAGGUUUUGAUGAUUCUAACUGAUACCAAGACUCUUUUGAAAGCGAUAGUAAUUAAAACAAUGUGGUAUUGGUGCCGGCUAGACAAAGAGAUCAAUAGAAUAGAGAAACGGUUCCAAGCAUGUGUGGGAAUUUGAUUUAUGAUGGUGGUGGCAUUGCAAGUCCAAGGGAGAGAACAGACUAUUCAAUAAACAGUGUUGAGACAUUUGGCUUUUCAUAUAAAGACUUCAUAUCCAUUAAUAUUAAUCCCAAAUGGACUAAAGAUGUGAAAGUGAAAAACAAAAUUUUAAGAGAAAAUGUAGGAGAUCCAGGGUUGGAAAGCAGUUCUUAUACAAGAGACCUAACUCGGCAAGAUUGAGUGAUCUUAUUACAUUACUUCCCCCAAAUCUCUCAGCUAUGAGAACAGCCUUAGGAAUAACUCGAAAAGACACAUAGCAACCUGGAUGGUGGUGUUGAGAUCCAUGAGACAGCCAUAAGGAUUGGUAUCUGGAAUCUAUGAAACUGUUGGAAAUCAGUAAGGAAAGGACAGGCCUUUUGAGUGCCAUUCGGAAUGGCAACCCUCCCCUUCUUCCUCCAUCCCAGGCUUCUGAUCUAAUUCAAGGGCUUGGGCUUUGAGGGAGGGUGGGUCUUCCUUAGCCCCAUCAUCGAACUGUGAUUGGUCUAAAUAUAGCAGUCAGUUUGUUCCUCUGGUCAAUGAUUGGUCCAGGUGUAGACAUGUAUUCAAUUCUAGUCACCAAGACAGGAAGGGAGAUAGACUCUCUGGUACCAGUGGGAAAGGCACUUUGACUGUGGCCUCUGAUUGUGGUCACCUGUACCUGCACAUGACAGUCGUCUUGGGGCCAUGUGGAGGCCACUGUAAGAAGCAAGCCAACACAAUGAAGGUGGUAGUACCCUCAUGAAAGGAACAUGGAAAAGAAAGGAGGGAGAAUCCACUUCUUGAUAUCACAGUUGAGUCUCUGAAUUGAGCAACUCAAGGACUUCCUGACAUGUAAGGUACUCUAUUUUGCUUAAACCACCUCUAUAGUGGCACCUCGGUUCACAAAUUUAAUUCUUUCCACAAUUCUGGUCACAAACUGAAUUGGACAAGAACAGAAUCGAAUUCAAUGGUUAGGUUCAAUGUUGACCUUACAGGAAAGUUGGAUUUGCUUCUUGUCUUAUUUGGUUUAUGACCAGAAUUGUGGAAAGAAUUAAGUUCAUGAACCGAGGUACCACUGUACUUGGGCUUUCUGUAGCUUCUACUUAAAGUGACCACAGGCUAACAAAGGGUAUGGACAUCAGUGAGAAUCCAGAGGAAGCCGGGUGACCAGAGAGCAGGUCAAGACACUUGACAUCACAGGUAGGGAGGCAGAUUCCAAUGAGUCUGCUUCACAUGCAUCGGGCUGGUGAAAAUAAGUCUAGCAAGAGCAAGUGUUGGCAACGGUGUGGCCAGAGCAGACCUCUCUGUCCCCUUCUCCCUUUCCCUCCCUCUCCCUCCUCCCUCUUUUUUUUUUUUUAGACCAGGUCUUGCAAUGUAGUCCAGACUGGCCUUGAACUCAUGAUCUUCCUGCCUCAGCCUCUUGCAUGCUGGAAUUAUAGGUGUGCGUCACCAUACCCACCUCUAAACAAAGCAAUCUUGUUCAAAUGGUGGUGGUGGGAAGAUAAAUGGGUUCAGUGCUGAAGUGAGUAGUUUGGCAGUACUAGGCAGGGAGGAACCCUACCCUGCUACCCCAGAUUUCUGCUCCUGGGCAGACACCCUAAAGAUGAGUCUAGAGCUCAGGCUGAGGGUGCUCAAUGCAGCUCUGCUCACAAUAGCAAACAGCAAAACAGGAACAACCUAAACACCCAUCAGCAGAGGAACUGAUACAUAAACUGUGGCUGAUUCACAUGCUAAAAUAGUAAAUUAAAAUGGUCAAGCCAAAGCCAUAAGUGUCACCGUGGCUCCCUUGUAAAAAACAUAUCAACACUCAGGAGGCUGAGGCAAAAGGAUUGCCCUGAGUUUGAGGCCAACCUGGGCUACAUAGCAACACCAAAAAACAAAACAAAACAAAAUAAAAAUAGAGUGGGAAAAGGUACAGAAUGGUACAUGUAGUAUGAUGCUUGUUACAUAAACUAAAAAUAUAGAAAGCACUGCUGCUUUAUGAAUAUUUAAAUGUACAGGAAAAAUAAGAAAUUAUGGGCUCUACUUUAAAAAGAGGAACAUCCGGACACAUGCCACUGCAUACCUGAACUGUGAAGACAUCAUGUGAAGCAAGAAGAUGGGUCUGAAGAAAAACUGCCUGGAAGUGUCGGAUUUCUCAUCCCACUCUUCACCCUCAAGGUCACCCGAAGUGCAAAGGACAAGUAUGGCAGAACCAAGAGCAGAUGGCCUGGAGGCUGCACGUGUGGCGGACACUGGGGUAGAGGAGCAGAGCCUGGUGCAGCCAGUUGGGAUGGGAGACAGCGGGCAGGAUCCUCUUCUGAUGACACAGGUCAGAUGGGCAAGGGCUGGCAGAAGAUGCUGACUCUGACUCGCCUGUGUUGGCAUACGCCUGUCAUCCCAGCUACUGGGGAGGGAGGCUGAGGCAGGAGGAUUGCAAGUUUGAGGCCAGCCUGGGCAAUUUAUGGAGACCCUACUCCAAAAUAAAAAGGGCUAGGGAUGUAGCUCAGUGGUGGAGCAUUUGCCUACCGUGUGCAGGGUUCUGGGUUCAAACCCUAGUACCAAAAGAAAAAAAAAAAGGAAGAAGAAAGAAGAAGAGAUUUUUUAAAAGGAAAAAGGGCUGAGGAUAUAGCUCAGUGUUAAGGCGCUGGGUUCAAUCCGCAGUACAAAAAGGAAGAGAGAAAGAGAGAGAGAAGAAAGAAAGAAAGAAAGGAAGAAAGAAAGAAAGAAAGAAAGAAAGAAAGAAAGAAAGAAAGAAAGAAGAAUGGGAGAGGGUGGAAUAGGAGAAGGCAACAGGCCAGGUGUGGUGGUGCACUCCUGAAAUCCCAGCACUUGGGAGGCUGAGAUAGGAAGAUCAUGAUGAAUUCAAGGCCAGUCUCAAAAAAAAGAACUACUUGUAUCAAAAAAAAAAAGAAAAGAAAAGAGAAGCAAAGGCCAAAAUCCAAAAAACAAAAAGAUGACUGGGAGCCAGCCCCUCUUGGGCACCCAAUACAUAAGAUCCAGAGAGCAGAUGAAAAUAGAAACUAUCAAAACACUGAAAAGUGUAUUAUUAGCAGUUGGAGCAGGCAGUAGAAAGAGUUCGUUGAAUUUGCUGAUGGCAGAACACAUUGCCUAAUCUUUGCAGUUCUUUUUUCCUUUUCCCUUGACCUCCCUGCACGUCUCCGGAGCUCCCAUGGCUACGGCUGUCUGCACUGCAAAAUACAUAUUUACAGGCCUUCUAAGCCCGGCUAAAUAUAGGCUUUCCUCUACAGCAACUGAUGAUUUGAAGAAAUUUCUUCUCUCUCCCACCCUUUCCCCCAACCCCCAACACACACGCACUCAUGCGCGCGCGCACACACACACACGCACGCACGCACGCACGCACGCACGAAUGCACACAUGUUCACGGGCCCCGACUCCCUCUCAGUCACCCGCCUGGUCUCCAAGGUGCAUCCAAACUUUCCCAGAGCCCUGGAGUGCAGUGGGGAGACUGAUGGAAGGAAGGGGACAAACCAGCAAGAACGGGGAGCAGGCGGUCUCCCCUCUGUGAGAGCACC
Molecule: long non-coding RNA, 3880 nt
Filed under: Heterocephalus glaber (naked mole-rat)
Lineage: Eukaryota; Metazoa; Chordata; Mammalia; Rodentia; Bathyergidae
Description: lncRNA (ENSHGLG00100049700.1)
Source: RNAcentral